CGCAAUUCUCUUGCAAAUUUGCAAGAGAACCUAAGCACUGGCAAAUUAGCAAGGGAAUUGCAAUGGAUCCCUCACAAAUCCCUUGCAAAUCCAUGUUUCCAAACUUAAACGGUUUGGGUUUCAUCAAGGAUUUUGGUGUAGGAUAACACAUUUUAUUGAAUCAUUUAGUGUUUAAAAUGUACGUCAAAAAAUAUUUUCAGAAAUUUAAUUAAAUAUAGUUAUGAACUUAAGUCCCAACACUUAAUUUGUUAUUACAAGUAAUUAACAUCAAACCCUUAUAACUUAUAUAACUCAUAUACGUCAACUAAAUUUCCGGAAAAUGUUAAACAUACUUUCACAUUAAUUAUUUGUUUUUAAUAGAAUCACUAAAUAGUAAAUACAUAUAGUCUACCGAAAAGAUAGCAAAACCUCAAACGAAACCCUAAAAUGCACUAUUUAUGAAUUUUCAAUGGAUUUGCAAGGGAAUUUUCGCAAUGGAUUUGCAAGGGAAUUCUCGGAAUUCCCUUGUAAAUCGCAAAUUGGCGAGAGAAUUGUAAGGAAUCCAUUGCAUUUCCCUUGCAAAUUCAUUUUUUUCAACUCAAAAUGAAAAUUUCAAAACUAGUCACGAUUUAAACUCUAUACAGUAAACUUUAUAAUGUUUGAAAACUUAAACUCUGAAUCUUAAAUACAAACUUAUAAAACUAAAUAUUUGUUUAAAACUUAAUCUCAAACUAUAUAUCUAUUUCCAAACUUUAACCAUAAACCCUAAACCACAUUUAUCCCAAACACUAUAUCUCAAAUUUAAUCACCAAAAUCCAAACACACCAACUUUAAUAUUUUAAAAUUUAAACACCAAAACUUUAACAUAACUAAUAAUCAUAAACAUUAACCUUAUAUUUAAUUUUUUAAAAUUAAGAUAACCUUAAAUCUUAAGUUUGAACUCAAAUUUUCAUAUUUUUAAAUUUUAAUUUCAUAUCUUAAAUCCAAACCAUAAGCUCUAAAUAUAAACCAUACCCCCAAAUCAUAUAUCCUAAACUCAAAUUAAAAAAUAAAAUCAUGCCACUUUUGUUAAUGUGAUAUAUCAUUAACAUUAUAAAAUUUAUAACUUUAUAAAAUUUAUAAUUUUUAUAUAAAUAAAAUUAGUUAAACAAUAAAAACACAAUUUCUAAAACAAUUAUUAAACAAAAACACGAUAAUCUCUGACCAUUGAUAACUUUUGAUCCAAUGGCCUUAAAUCAAUCUUUUGUUAAUCUUCGUCACUCUUUCUCAUUGGUCCACAUUGUAAAAGGUGGAUCACUCAUUAUUAAACUCGGUCGUUGAUAAGUGUCAAUCUAAAGGAAGAAACUAAUGUAUUUGAUUUAAUAUUUGAUUUAUCUUUUUCUUCCUUCUCUCCUCUAUCGAGACUUCAUGCUUGCUCUUCUCCUCUCUCGUCUUCUCUUCUUCUCAUCUCAUCUCCAUCAAUGAAAAAAAAGACAGAGCAAGCAUCAACAAUCGUUGAUCUGAGAAAGUGGUGAUGUGACGAGUCGGUAGUGGUGGCGUGAUGAAUCAGUUGUCGCCGGUGGCGAGCAUGGAGGAGCGGUGGCGGAACGUGGAUGACGAGGCAGAAAAGCUUAAUGGCGGAGGAGGCAGAAAAGCUUCAUGUGGGAGGCGGACGCGGACGAGACAAGGCGUGGUCACGUAGGGUUGGUGGUGUUAGACAGAGAAGUCGCUUGAGUACUGGUGGCAUUUGCCGGAGUCGUCAAAGGAGGCGGAGGCGGAGGCGUGAGGAGUUAGGGCUUUAGGUUUAGGUGUGAACUGUAUAAUUUUUUUAUUAGGUUAAUUAUUUAAAACUACUUUAAUUUGUAAUCCAAAUUCAAUUAUUUUGUAAAUAAAAAUUAUUAAAUUAUAUAUUUUAAUUGUAUUUUGUGA
Molecule: long non-coding RNA, 1887 nt
Organism: Brassica napus (rape)
Lineage: Eukaryota; Viridiplantae; Streptophyta; Magnoliopsida; Brassicales; Brassicaceae
Exons: 2
Source: RefSeq, a predicted model, not a curated record